Molecule: ribosomal RNA, 1302 nt
Filed under: metagenome
Description: bacterial LSU rRNA
Rfam family: Bacterial large subunit ribosomal RNA
Source: RNAcentral
CCUACACGACCGUACCGCAAACCGACACUGGUGCGCGAGAUGAGUAUUCUCAGGCGCUUGAGAGAACUCGGGAGAAGGAACUCGGCAAAUUGACACCGUAACUUCGGAAGAAGGUGUGCCUUUAGUAGGUGAAGUCCCUCGCGGAUGGAGCCCAAUGAGGUUGCAAAGAAUCGGUGGCUGCGACUGUUUAAUAAAAACACAGCACUCUGCAAACACGAAAGUGGACGUAUAGGGUGUGACGCCUGCCCGGUGCUGGAAGAUUAAGUGAUGGGGUGCAAGCUCUUGAUCGAAGUCCCAGUAAACGGCGGCCGUAACAAUAACGGUCCUAAGGUAGCGAAAUUCCUUGUCGGGUAAGUUCCGACCUGCACGAAUGGCGUAACGAUGGCCACACUGUCUCCUCCCGAGACUCAGCGAAGUUGAAAUGUUUGUGAUGAUGCAAUCUCCCCGCGGAAAGACGGAAUGACCCCAUGAACCUUUACUGUAGCUUUGUAUUGGACUUUGAACGGAUCUGUGUAGGAUAGGUGGGAGGCUUUGAAGCCGGGUCGCUAGAUCUGGUGGAGCCAACGUUGAAAUACCACCCUGGUGCGUUUGAGGUUCUAACCUAGGCCCGUUAUCCGGGCCGGGGACAGUGCAUGGUAGGCAGUUUGACUGGGGCGGUCUCCUCCCAAAGCGUAACGGAGGAGUUCGAAGGUACGCUAGUUACGGUCGGACAUCGUGACGAUAGUGCAAUGGCAUAAGCGUGCUUAACUGCGAGACUGACAAGUCGAGCAGAUGCGAAAGCAGGACAUAGUGAUCCGGUGGUUCUGUAUGGAAGGGCCAUCGCUCAACGGAUAAAAGGUACUCUGGGGAUAACAGGCUGAUACCGCCCAAGAGUUCAUAUCGACGGCGGUGUUUGGCACCUCGAUGUCGGCUCAUCUCAUCCUGGGGCUGUAGCCGGUCCCAAGGGUAUGGCUGUUCGCCAUUUAAAGAGGUACGUGAGCUGGGUUUAAAACGUCGUGAGACAGUUUGUCCCUAUCUUCCGUGGGCGCUGCAGAUUUGAGGAAGCCUGCUCCUAGUACGAGAGGACCGGAGUGGACGCACCUCUGGUGUACCUGUUGUCACGCCAGUGGCAUUGCAGGGUAGCUAAGUGCGGAAGAGAUAACCGCUGAAAGCAUCUAAGCGGGAAACUCGUUUCAAGAUGAGAUCUGCCGGGGCCUUGAGCCCCCUGAAGAGUCGUUCUAGACCAGGACGUUGAUAGGUCAGGUGUGGAAGCGCAGUAAUGCGUUAAGCUAACUGAUACUAAUUGCGCGUGCGGCUUGACCU